This 96-nucleotide transfer RNA is filed under the name Peniophora sp. CONT. RNAcentral describes it as "tRNA-Ser". It matches the Rfam family "tRNA". Rfam says of the family: Transfer RNA (tRNA) molecules are approximately 80 nucleotides in length. Their secondary structure includes four short double-helical elements and three loops (D, anti-codon, and T loops). Further hydrogen bonds mediate the characteristic L-shaped molecular structure. tRNAs have two regions of fundamental functional importance: the anti-codon, which is responsible for specific mRNA codon recognition, and the 3' end, to which the tRNAs corresponding amino acid is attached (by aminoacyl-tRNA synthetases). tRNAs cope with the degeneracy of the genetic code in two manners: having more than one tRNA (with a specific anti-codon) for a particular amino acid; and 'wobble' base-pairing, i.e. permitting non-standard base-pairing at the 3rd anti-codon position. Lineage: Eukaryota; Fungi; Basidiomycota; Agaricomycetes; Russulales; Peniophoraceae. The record is from RNAcentral.
GUCACUUUGCCGGAGUGGUUAACGGGAUCGCCUGCUAUUCUCUAGCAUCUCAGCGGUUGGGCUUUGCCCGCGAGUGUUCGAAUCGCUCAGGUGACG